This 998-nucleotide long non-coding RNA is filed under the name Mytilus galloprovincialis (Mediterranean mussel). Lineage: Eukaryota; Metazoa; Mollusca; Bivalvia; Mytilida; Mytilidae. The record is from RNAcentral.
CGGAAUUUUAGCUGCAUCAACAAAAUUAUAUGAAUAAUCAGUCUUUGAUCUGUAAAUUUGUUGUUCGUAGCUUUAUUUUUAAUUCAUUAAUCAGUUUGUUGUUAAAGUUUCAAAAGUCACAAGUCUGUCCAAGUCUUACAAAGGCUUUUAGUCUUCUAUCUUUGAUAUUCCAACUAUCCAACAUAUCAUAAUUUAUAACAACAAUAUUGCGAGAUAUGUUUGUCUUGUAAUGAGGCCAAAUCUUGUUCAAUUCAAUCAUUUGAAAUUGUGAUUUUAAAUAAUCGUCACUCAAAAUGACUAAAUAUGAACUUGAGUCAGCUAUUUCGGUCGAAAUUUGAUCGACGACAUGCACACUGCCUACAUCGAAAUCUCUUGGAGGAAAACAACUUUUGAAGCCAUUUUGUUCAAGAUUGAAAACGACUGUCUUGAUCCAUUUCAUUAAAUUGUCAUUUUCUGCAUUGAACGAAAUAUACACGUAAUAUUCAGUUUGUUGACUAUCGUUGAUACUGUUUCUAUUGAGGUACUGACUUUUGAAAUUCCUUAAAAGUAGAAACAGUUCGUAUUUCAUUUUCAAGCAUAGCAGUAAUGAUACAAAUAUAGAUAUCAUGAAGCUAAGUACUACAUAUUUAACUGUUGAUUUCGGUUUUACAAAGGAACACAUCUCAGAAAUGGAACUCGCUUGAAUAUCUCUACCUCGUAUAUGACAGUGAAUGGAGUUAUUUACUCCAUGUCUUCUGUGAUGAUUUUCUAGCCAUGAUCCAAUCCACUUCAUUUUAAAAAGAACACUUGAUUGAUAUACGUCCAAACGAUAUUGUGUGGUCAUUUGUCAUUAACAGUACGUUCUUAUGAAUCUGAACUAUUUUAUUGUGCUGAAGAUUAAUAUUCCGUAGUUUCAUGAUUCCAUAAACAAAUGGAUCUACACUUGGUAUUCUAUUAUUAGACAAAUUAAUUGAAAAUGUUCUAUUCAGAAAAGUACGGUAUUCAAAAACGGAUAUUAA